Helicoverpa armigera (cotton bollworm) is the source of this 4174-nucleotide long non-coding RNA. RefSeq lists it as uncharacterized. The record is from RefSeq and is a predicted model, not a curated record. Lineage: Eukaryota; Metazoa; Arthropoda; Insecta; Lepidoptera; Noctuidae. The transcript has 2 exons.
UAUAAAGCAAAAGAUAAUACAUACAUACAAAAAUACAUACUUUAUAAAAUCUCUAUGAAGAAGAGGAGGACAAAUAGUAGCUUUUCAGUUUCUGUUUAAAAGUAGCAACAGUUUGACAGCUCCUUAAUUCAGGCGGCAGCGAAUUCCACAACCGUACUGCGUUUACUGUGAAGGAGAAGGAAUAAAAGUCAGUGGAAUGGGAGGGGAUUUUAAGGAGAGAUUUGAGAUGCGUUCUACAGAGCGCAUCAGGCGAGCGAACAAAUGAAAAGCGUUCUCGCAGAUAGGAAGGACUUUUGGGAUUAAAAAGGAUAUUAAAAAGAAGACACAAAAUGCGAGUGUUCCUGCGAAGACGAAUAGGGAGCCACUUGAGUUCUUUGCGAAAAUGAGAAACAUGAUCAUAUUUUUUGAGAUUGAAAACAAAACGAAUACAUAAAUUUUGCAACCGCUCAAGCUUAUUUAAGAGCUCCUCUGUGGCAUCCAAAUAACAGGCAUCAGCGUAGUCUAUGAUGGGUUGAAUGAGAGUCUGAGCAAGAGAGAUUUUGGUUUUCAAGGGCAAAAAGUACUGGAGGCAUUUCAGAGUGUGAAAGGUGAAGUGCACCUUGCGACUGACUUCAUUGACCUGCGCAGACCAUGAUAAAUGGGAGUCCAUGAUGACACCCAAAUUUUUAGCCGUUUCUGCAUAGCUCAGUUGAACCCCACCUAAACAAAGAGGAGGCAACGACGCAACAUCAAGCCUACCACGCAAGUUUCUACCGCCAAUGAUCAUGGCCUGAGACUUCUUGGGAUUGAUCUGUAGCCCAAAGGACUGCGCCCAGCCCUCGAUCAUAAUCAGGUCCUGAUUCAUAGCGGCAACGGCAGAUUCCGCAUCGCUUAACGAGAAAUGUCUGUAGAGUUGCAAGUCGUCCGCAUAGAGAUGGAAGUUGGAAGAAAUGACCUUAGUGACAGAGUCAAUGAAAACAGAGAACAGGAGAGGAGAGAGAACGCCACCUUGAGGUACGCCCGCAGAAAGGUUGCACCAAUUGGAGGAUAAGUUAUUAAGCCGGACACACUGCGUACGGCCUCUAAGAUAGGAGUCAAACCAAUUUAACGUGGAAGAAGAAAUAUUAAUAGAUUUAAGGAUGCCAAGAAGAAUGUCGAAAUCGACAGAAUUAAAUGCACUGCUGAAGUCAAGGAGAACCAGUAACGUCAGGGAUUUAUUUUCCAUCGCAAGACGGAUGUCGUCAGUAACCUUCAACAGUGCAGUUACAGUGCUGUGACCGGGACGAAAACCAGAUUGUAAAGGGUGGAAAAGGUUAUUGCGGCUAAGGAAAGAAGAAAGCUGAGAAUGCACCAGGUGCUCCAGAACUUUAGACAGGUAAGGAAGGAUGGAAAUGGGUCUAUAAUCAGACAAAGCAGCUGGAUUGGAAAUUUUGGGUAAAGGAAUAACGAUGGCUUCUUUCCAGGAAUUAGGAAAAGAACAAGAGAACAGGGAGAAAUUUAGGAUAUGUGUCAAGACAGGGAGGACAGUCGGUAGCGUUAAGAACACCAUUCUAGAGCAAAUGUUAUCAUUACCGACUGCACUAGAGGAUAUGGCAAGGAUAGACUUUUUGACAUCGUCUUCAGUCACAGCACUCAGUUCGAACAAAGAGCACUGAGGCAACGGCAAACUAGCAAGCCCACUCAAUGUACGGGCACGGACGUGUGGGUCCAAACGUACGGGGGGAGAGGAGAAGUAGUUAUUAAGGGCACCCACGUCAGUGUCCCCACCAGCAGCGCAAGCAGCCUUACCGAUGCCAAUAGUUUUGAGAAAUUUCCAUACCUCAGAAGAGUUACGGUUAUCGAGAGAGUUGUGGAAGUAGCGUCUCUUUGCAUCUCUACACAUUCGACUGCAACGGUUACGCAAUGUCUUGUAGGUAAUGAGGUUGCGUUCAGACGGACUGCGCUUCCACCUACGCUUGGCUCUGUCUCGACUGGCCAUCACCUCCCUUAUAGCAGGAGUGAGCCACGGAGCAGGAGCAUACUUAACUUUGACACGGCGGAGUGGAGCAUGAAUGUCAAAAAGUUGCAAUAACUUACAAUUAAAUAAACUCACCAUUUCAUUAACGCAGGUACUCAUGAAUAUGCUAGACCAGUCAAUGCAAUCAGCAUCACGCUUCAAUGCCUCCAGAUCAAUGCCCUUGUAAUUCCGAAGAUACAGGUAUUGAGGCUUACGCUUAGGAGGACGAAUCCGAUAGGAUAAAAAGAUUAGAUCGUGAUAGGAAAAAGAUGCUGAAAUCUGACCAUGAGAGGAUACAUUACUUGUCUUAGAUACUACUAUUAGAUCCAGGAGAGAAGGAGUGCAGUUGGGAAAAUGAUGAGUAGCAGACAGAGGUAAGAGACUGAGAUUGAAAGAAGAAAGGAGCGAUUGAAGUUUAAGAGCUCGCCUGUCAUUCUUUAAUAAACAAGUAUUAAAGUCACCCAUCAAGACCACGUGUUCGUAAAGGGGGGAAAAAUCAUGCAGGAGCGUGUCCAGUGAGCCAAAGUAAUCAAUGCUCAGGUUGGGGCUAUAAAAUACACCCAGGAGUACCUUAGUGUGAUUAAGAAGGACUUCGAGAAAUAGGUGCUCUGCCGAUUCCGAGUACACUGACGGCGAAGCACUGAUGAUCUUAAAAGGUAUUCCAGCCCUCAAAUAAAUAGCAACACCACCACCCCCCUUCCCAGUUCUAUCAUUACGGAUAAGGACAAAGCCAGGCAGGGCAUAGUGGGUAGACAAGAGAGAGGGCUUAAGAAAAGACUCGGAUAUCAACAGAGCAUCAAGAUGAGCACUGUUAAUGGACGCCAGAAGAUCGGAGUAAUGGCCAGGAACACUUUGAGCAUUUAUAUGGGCAAUGUUGAAAUUGUGGGGAUUAUGGGAAAAAAGUGUGGAGAUCUGAUCGCCAAGGGUCAGGGGAGCACCGGAACCGCUACCCGCACUGAGGAAACUAUCAGAUGAUGAGGUACAUGAAAAGAAACUAUCAUCUAAACUGAUACAACUCAUAGAGGUUACAAAACAAAAAUAAUGAAAUAAUAAAAAAUACAAACACAAAACAACCAAACAAUAACAAUUUUUAAAUACAAGAAUAUCUCGGAUAUUCUAACUCACCCAGUCACAGUUGCGUGGAGAGAUACUACAAGAAUUAAAAUUAAAUAGACAACAUAUUAUUAACAUACAAAAAAAAAACAACGGAUACAAAAACUUAGUUUAACAACGCACACAAUGAGAAUAUCUGCAAGAACAAAACAAGUUGACAUGACGUUGACAAGCCACGAUACUUGUCAACGUCAAAACAAAAGUGAAAACAAAUAUUAUUUUAAUAAUACCGACACGACAAAGAACAAAUUAACAAAUAGCUAUAAAUAUAGCAGUUACUUCCGAGCCUUCCGCAACACCUUCGUUUUCUUGGCCACCUCAGACUUGGAAGAAGAGGUCGCAGCAUUCGGAGACGAACUCGGAUUAGCCGUGAUAUCCUUACCAGCGCUAGUCGGGUACAGGGCAAUAAGACCAGCAGCUGGUGAUCCCAAAAUGUUUGCGGGCGGCUAGGAAAACUUGAUGUCGAGUCUUGGUUAAAAAUUCGGAAAUGGUGAUGCCAGUACCUUUUAACAACGUUUUGCUGUCCCAAACUGCACGACGAUAAUCCAUGCCCCUAAAGCGCACCAGCACGGGUCUUGUUUUUCCCGGUGAAGCACCCAACCUGUGACACACUUCAAACAUCUCAAGCCGUGCAUCAUCAAUCUUCAACUGCUUAACGAUGAUAUCAAGAAUGGUGCCACUGAGAUUCUCAUUCUUGCUUUCUGGAACACCGUGAAACAGCAGCAGCUUCCGUCUCAUGAAGGUUUCAUGGCUAUCCACUGCCUGAGAGAGGAGCCCAACUUGCGUUUUCAGAUGAGUCAACGUUUUGAUGACAAAUCCUUUGAACUCCAAAAAUUCAUCUGACAGUGAGGCCAGACUGGAGUGGGCAGGAGCAGUGCCAGCUGUAGCUUUCUGCAGCUUAUCUUCAUAGGCACACAUACGCGAACUGAACAAUUUCUCCAACUCAUCAAUACUGUGCACAAGUUUGCUGUCCAUUGUGUGUUGUGAUAUUAUUGUUCUUGAGUAAUUAUAAGGAUAGUUUAUUAAGGAAAAGUGAGUGACGGUAAGCUAUGAGCCAAAUUAAUGCAUUAAAUACAUAAAAUUAAA